ACUAGUUAUGAGAGAAGAGACCGACCCCCAGCUCACCUCCCUUCAGGUUAUAACAUUUAUUUGCAUGCAUGAAAAAAUGUCAUGAAAUGCCAACUGACACAGGAGACAGAUGUAGCUGCAUUGCCAUCUGUGGAGGUCUUCACAUACAGAUUGAGCAGAAGUUUAGGUAAGGAGGUGUCCAGAAUGGCUUGGGAAUUUCCCUCAUCUUGGGACAAGGAGAUGAACUUCACAAUUCUGUAAGUAUUUUCCUAGUAACUCAGCAAAUUUUUAAAAUAAAAAUUAAUGUCCCCAGGAUGCUGCUUAGACAUUUGAUAUUUAUCAUUAGACAUUUCUUGAUGAAACUGAUAGCUUAAUCAUGCUAUGAAAAAAGAUUGUGUUAGGAUUUUUGAAUUUCUGAUGGAUGUGUUAUUUCCUUCAGAACAGAAUGAUUAUUGAGUGGCAAUAUGGUCUCAUUAUAAAUAAUCAGCUGUAGUUCUACAGCUUUUCUUCUUAAUGAUAUUAAUAAUAUCAUUAAUAACAAUAUUGACAUUGAUAGUAGAAUUUAUUUAUGAUAAAAAUAGCAGAAUGUAAUUACUUCAAACAAAUCAUGCCCUUUGGGAAUAUGGGUUUACUCUUACAGAACUAUAGAAAAUUUAAAAUUUAUCAACUGAUUGCAUUCAGAACAUAUUAUUUACUGAGUUAAUGACAAAUCUGCCUUACUGACAGAUGGAAAAUUUCAGAGGGAGAGAAAAUACAGAAACAUGAUUAAAAACUAAGGAGAUGAUUGUCUUCUAUGUGAUUUCUGAAUUCUUUUUAGUCCUCCAACAGGUAAGGUAUAGAAGUACUAGAAUCAUACAACCAUGGAUUCAUUUGAGGUGGAAGAGACCAAGUAGGGUCAUCUGGUCCAACCUCUCUGCAAUGAGCAGGGACGGGUGCUCAGAGUCCUGCACAGCCUGACAUUGAGUGUCUCCAGAGACAGGGGAUGCCUACCAUCUCUGGGCAAUCUGUGUCAGCUUCUCACCACCUUUACUGUAAAAACCUUAUUAUUAUAUUCAAUCUAAAAGUCCCCCUUUUUAGUUUGCAACCAUUUCCCCUUGUCCUAUCACCACAGACCCUGCUACGGGGUCUGUCUCCUUCUUUCUUACAGCCCCCCUUUAGACACUGAAAGGCCACUCUCUGGUCUCCCUGCAGACUUCUCUCAUCCAGGCUGAACAGCCCCAGCUCUCUCAGCCUAUCCUUGCAGGGGAGGUGCUCUAUCCCUUGGAACAUUUUUGUGGUCCUCCUCUGGAUGUGUUCCAACAUGUCCACAUCUCUCCUGUACUGAGGACAAAAUAGUUUGUAUAAACCUAAGUGUAUUCAUUGGUGUUUAAGCCAUAUUCUAUCUUUAAUUGUCAAAGAAAGGCAAUACUAACAGCUUGGUAGUUUUUAACUUUUCUCUUUCCACUCAUACCCAAAGUAAUAGCAUUCUGAGAGCAUUCACAUGUCAUACCAGGAGCCAUGGAAUGGACAAAGCAGAAUUAAAAGAACAAUAACGGUCUUUGGCAUAGCUAUAUAUUACCUAAAACAACACAAAAUUAUGAUUUCAGGCAUGAGUGCACAAUGCACAUUCCACCUCAGAGGUUUUUCUGAUACACUCCAGCUGAAACAAGCACAUGUCAUCAAUGAAAGAAAAUAGCCCCCUAUUUCAUACCUCUUUGCUUCUUUUUGCCAUUCAGUUACAGCCCAGCCUUUAUAUCUUUACAGUACUCCUGUGAACAAUGAUACUGAUCACAUACAUUCAAGCCCUGACUCAGCAGAGCUCUUAAGUAUAAGAAAGCAUGAUUUAUCUUGUUGGGUUUAAUAUGAUGCUUGAACAAUAAGGUUUUGUGUGUGUGUGUGUGUGUGUGUGUGUGUCUUUUAUUUUGUUUGUUUUCCUCCCUGAAUCAAGGUUUUCCUCAUGUGAGAGAAACAGAGCUCCACUCUGGAUUGUUACAACUCUAAUGGGGUAACAACCAUUUGCCAUAAAACUGUGGUUUACUAAUAUAACAAGAUGUUAAAAAUAAAGACAGCUGGACGUGCAGGAAAUUCCAGAGUUCUCUUAUGAAUCCACAAAAGAGAAUACAGUUUUCCUC
Long non-coding RNA from Gallus gallus (chicken), 2090 nucleotides. Lineage: Eukaryota; Metazoa; Chordata; Aves; Galliformes; Phasianidae. The record is from Ensembl.